Molecule: long non-coding RNA, 1038 nt
Organism: Mastomys coucha (southern multimammate mouse)
Lineage: Eukaryota; Metazoa; Chordata; Mammalia; Rodentia; Muridae
Exons: 2
Source: RefSeq, a predicted model, not a curated record
GAAAGGGUACAAGAAGGGUGGGAUGCAGCAAGGCAUGUAGGGAGCUCUGCAGUCACAGGUGCAUAGGGCGUGGCUCGGUGGCGACACUUGAUGCCACUGCCAUGACACUUUGCCAUGCUGCCUGGGCUUAUGUUCAGGGCAGAACACUGAAAGGGAGCGCUGGGAGAAAAUGUCUGCAAUAGAAGAAGAAAUGUCGCUUUUAUCCCCGCCUCCUCAUCCCAGGUGUUCUAAGAAAGGAAAACUGGUUGUUUGGAGUCAUGCAAAGGCUCAGGCAGUGCUGCCUCCCUUCCACCCACUGGAUACUUCUGGAGGAUUACAGCCGUUGGUGGGAGUCACAGUUCCUGUAAUUUUCCAUUGCCUCCGGGCCCAGGGUGCUCAAGCACUGCCUUGGUAUUGGAGUAGCAAAAGUCAAGUACCGUUUGGUUCAGUUGGGGAGCCUGCUUGAUGGAACUCAGUGCUUCAGAGCUGAUGAGCCAGAGAGAUUGGUCUGCACAUCCCUACUCUGCCAGCUUGCCUACAGAAAUUUGUUGUAAAGACCUGAAGCUCGGUUUCCUGUUCUGUUAGAGUGGGGUCAUAGCAGUACCUACACGAGACUUAACUGUGAAGAGAGCUAGGGUCAAGUGUGGCUUGUAGUAAAUACUCCUGAAUGGGAGAGGAGCGCAGCUUUGUAGACCGGUAGGAGUGGUUUAAGGUGUUAGGAUAGUAGGAGUGGUUUAAGGUGUUAGGAUAGUAGGAGUGGUUUAAGGUGUUAGAAUAGUAGGAGUGGUUUAAGGUGUUAGGAUAGUACAGGAGGACGGCCCAGGGGUGGGGCAGGAAGAGCCACCAGGAGGUGUGAGCUGGGGGAAGAACAAAGCAGUAUUCCAGCUAAGGAAAUAAUCUCACAAAGACCAGGAAGCAAGCAGGAGAGUGCAUCCCACAGUGGAGAAUACCUCUGCAUCUUUCAAAGGCCAGCUUGUCACUACUAGCUUUGAUCAAAGCAACUUUUGGGGGAGGGGGAUAGAUAAAUACAUAAAAACAAAUAAACAAUGUGUAUGCUCA